GAUGAACGCUGGCGGCGUGCCUAAUACAUGCAAGUCGAGCGGACCAAAGAGAGCUUGCUCUCUGAGGUUAGCGGCGGACGGGUGAGUAACACGUGGGUAACCUGCCUGUAAGACGGGGAUAACUUCGGGAAACCGCAGCUAAUACCGGAUGAUAAAGAGAAACGCCCGUUUCUUUUUUGAAAGUCGGCCUUGUGCUGACGCUUACAGAUGGGCCCGGGGCGCAUUAGCUAGUUGGUGAGGUAACGGCUCACCAAGGCGACGAGGCGUAGCCAGACUGAGAGGGUGAUCGGCCACACUGGGACUGAGACACGGCCCAGACUCCUACGGGAGGCAGCAGUAGGGAAUCUUCGGCAAUGGACGAAAGUCUGACCGAGCAACGCCGCGUGAGCGAUGAAGGCCUUCGGGUCGUAAAGCUCUGUUGUCAGAGAAGAACAAGUACCGGAGUAACUGCCGGUACCUUGACGGUACCUGACCAGAAAGCCACGGCUAACUACGUGCCAGCCGCCCGGUAA
RNAcentral lists this ribosomal RNA (512 nucleotides) under uncultured bacterium. RNAcentral's name for it is "partial 16S ribosomal RNA". It matches the Rfam family "Bacterial small subunit ribosomal RNA", at positions 28 to 523 of the family's 1533-position model. The record is from RNAcentral.